AGAUGGCAACAGUCAACCACUUAUCACAAGGCAACCCCCUGAGCCAGCGUCGUCAUUCCUGUCUGAGGGAAGUUGGCAUGGAUUGCUAACGUUGAGCUUUCGAGCAGAAUCGCCAGCCAGCACUCCAAGUUAACUACAGGGCUAAAAUAAACACAGGACAGAGCCCAGAGCUUCAGAUCCCCCCUGGACCCACUGGACAGAGGACAGGUACUUACAGGUUACACAGCAGUUCAAGUUCAAUGUCAAGUCACACACGUCUUUGGACUGUGGGCGGAAACUGGAGCUCUCUGGGGAAAUCCACAGAGACACAAGGAGAACAUGCAAACCCCACACAGAAAGAGGCCGGACCGCUCCACCUUGGAAUUGAACCCAGGACCCAGCGACAGUGUAAUCUACAAAGCCACUGUUUCACCCCAAAGGUUGUUUCCUGCUGGGAUUGGUGUAUAAAAUGAACCCUAGCACCACCCUGAAAAGACACUGAGUAACAAACCUGCUGAAAAAUCCAGACGCAGUUUUAAUUCUUGAAGAGCUACAAAUAAAAAUGAGAGAAUAUAAGACAGCU
This is a long non-coding RNA of Trichomycterus rosablanca, 562 nucleotides long. RefSeq lists it as uncharacterized. The transcript has 5 exons. Lineage: Eukaryota; Metazoa; Chordata; Actinopteri; Siluriformes; Trichomycteridae. The record is from RefSeq and is a predicted model, not a curated record.